CAGCAGCCACGGGAAUACAGAGGGUGCGAGCGUUAAUCGGAUUUACUGGGCGUAAAGCGUGCGUAGGCGGCUUCUUAAGUCGGAUGUGAAAUCCCUGAGCUUAACUUAGGAAUUGCAUUCGAUACUGGGAAGCUAGAGUAUGGGAGAGGAUGGUAGAAUUCCAGGUGUAGCGGUGAAAUGCGUAGAGAUCUGGAGGAAUACCGAUGGCGAAGGCAGCCAUCUGGCCUAAUACUGACGCUGAGGUACGAAAGCAUGGGGAGCAAACAGGAUUAGAUACCCGUGUAGUCCCUGUCUCUUAUAA
RNAcentral lists this ribosomal RNA (301 nucleotides) under uncultured bacterium. RNAcentral describes it as "partial 16S ribosomal RNA". It matches the Rfam family "Bacterial small subunit ribosomal RNA", at positions 509 to 809 of the family's 1533-position model. The record is from RNAcentral.